UCCACGCCGUAAACGAUGUCGACUUGGAGGUUGUGCCCUUGAGGCGUGGCUUCCGGAGCUAACGCGUUAAGUCGACCGCCUGGGGAGUACGGCCGCAAGGUUAAAACUCAAAUGAAUUGACGGGGGCCCGCACAAGCGGUGGAGCAUGUGGUUUAAUUCGAUGCAACGCGAAGAACCUUACCUGGUCUUGACAUCCACGGAAGUUUUCAGAGAUGAGAAUGUGCCUUCGGGAACCGUGAGACAGGUGCUGCAUGGCUGUCGUCAGCUCGUGUUGUGAAAUGUUGGGUUAAGUCCCGCAACGAGCGCAACCCUUAUCCUUUGUUGCCAGCGGUCCGGCCGGGAACUCAAAGGAGACUGCCAGUGAUAAACUGGAGGAAGGUGGGGAUGACGUCAAGUCAUCAUGGCCCUUACGACCAGGGCUACACACGUGCUACAAUGGCGCAUACAAAGAGAAGCGACCUCGCGAGAGCAAGCGGACCUCAUAAAGUGCGUCGUAGUCCGGAUUGGAGUCUGCAACUCGACUCCAUGAAGUCGGAAUCGCUAGUAAUCGUGGAUCAGAAUGCCACGGUGAAUACGUUCCCGGGCCUUGUACACACCGCCCGUCACACCAUGGGAGUGGGUUGCCAAAGAAGUAGGUAGCUUAACCUUCGGGAGGGCGCUUACCACUUUGUGAUUCAUGACUGGG
This 685-nucleotide ribosomal RNA is filed under the name Escherichia sp. GMQC4. Its description in RNAcentral is "bacterial SSU rRNA". It matches the Rfam family "Bacterial small subunit ribosomal RNA", at positions 794 to 1479 of the family's 1533-position model. Lineage: Bacteria; Pseudomonadati; Pseudomonadota; Gammaproteobacteria; Enterobacterales; Enterobacteriaceae. The record is from RNAcentral.